Molecule: ribosomal RNA, 468 nt
Filed under: uncultured bacterium
Lineage: Bacteria
Description: partial 16S ribosomal RNA
Rfam family: Bacterial small subunit ribosomal RNA
Source: RNAcentral
GACGAACGCUGGCGGCGUGCUUAACACAUGCAAGUCGAACGGAAAGGCCCUGCUUUUGUGGGGUGCUCGAUUGGCGAACGGGUGAGUAACACGUGAGUAACCUGCCCUUGACUUUGGGAUAACUUCAGGAAACUGGGGCUAAUACCGGAUAGGAGCACCUGCUGCAUGGUGGGGGUUGGAAAGUUUCGGCGGUUGGGGAUGGACUCGCGGCUUAUCAGCUUGUUGGUGGGGUAGUGGCUUACCAAGGCUUUGACGGGUAGCCGGCCUGAGAGGGUGACCGGCCACAUUGGGACUGAGAUACGGACCAGACUCCUACGGGAGGCAGCAGUGGGGAAUAUUGCACAAUGGGCGGAAGCCUGAUGCAGCAACGCCGCGUGCGGGAUGACGGCCUUCGGGUUGUAAACCGCUUUCGCCUGUGACGAAGCGUGAGUGACGGUAAUGGGUAAAGAAGCACCGGCUAACUACGUG